This 427-nucleotide ribosomal RNA is filed under the name uncultured prokaryote. RNAcentral's name for it is "bacterial SSU rRNA". It matches the Rfam family "Bacterial small subunit ribosomal RNA", at positions 355 to 774 of the family's 1533-position model. The record is from RNAcentral.
UUAAGAAUAUUCCGCAAUGGACGAAAGUCUGACGGAGCGACGCCGCGUGGAUGAAGAGGGCCGAAAGGUUGUAAAGUUCUUUUGCUAGGGGAGAAUAAGUGAGGGAGGGAAUGCCCUCAUGAUGACAAGGACUAGCGAAUAAGCCCCGGCCAACUACGUGCCAGCAGCCGCGGUAACACGUAGGGGGCGAGCGUUGUUCGGAAUUACUGGGCGUAAAGGGCAUGUAGGCGGCUUGGUAAGCCUGGCGUGAAAGACUGCAGCUUAACUGUAGGGAUGCGUUGGGAACUGCUUAGCUUGAGUUAAGGAGAGGGAGCUGGAAUUCCUGGUGUAUGGGUGAAAUCUGUAGAUAUCAGGAAGAACACCGAUGGCGAAGGCAAGCUUCUGGUCGAUAACUGACGCUGAGGUGCGAAAGUGUGGGGAUCAAACA